CACUCCAACUCCCCGUGAUCACACCCGAAAGUUAUAAAUUGGUGAGUAAUCACUUGCGUGGAUGCAAGUUAAGCCGUGACUUCGCCAUGGAUGGCGAAUACACGGCGCUUACGUUCACAUCAAUUUUUAACUUGAGGACACAGUGUGAUCCUCGGGUGCGCCGAGA
Non-coding RNA from Pseudoalteromonas sp. A601, 166 nucleotides. The record is from Rfam. NCBI's taxonomy places the organism in Bacteria, Pseudomonadati, Pseudomonadota, Gammaproteobacteria, Alteromonadales, Pseudoalteromonadaceae.